GCCUGUAUAGCUCAGUGGCAGAGCGACUGCCUUGUAAGCAGUAGGUCGGGGGUUCAAAUCCCUCUACAGGCU
RNAcentral lists this transfer RNA (72 nucleotides) under Candidatus Pacearchaeota archaeon. RNAcentral's name for it is "tRNA-Thr". It matches the Rfam family "tRNA". From Rfam's summary of the family: Transfer RNA (tRNA) molecules are approximately 80 nucleotides in length. Their secondary structure includes four short double-helical elements and three loops (D, anti-codon, and T loops). Further hydrogen bonds mediate the characteristic L-shaped molecular structure. tRNAs have two regions of fundamental functional importance: the anti-codon, which is responsible for specific mRNA codon recognition, and the 3' end, to which the tRNAs corresponding amino acid is attached (by aminoacyl-tRNA synthetases). tRNAs cope with the degeneracy of the genetic code in two manners: having more than one tRNA (with a specific anti-codon) for a particular amino acid; and 'wobble' base-pairing, i.e. permitting non-standard base-pairing at the 3rd anti-codon position. Lineage: Archaea; Nanobdellati. The record is from RNAcentral.